UAAGAAGAUGUUUGAUAAAAUGGAGAACCGUUUUGACAAGUUGGAUACAAAACUUAAUGACAUUGAAGUAAGCGUUAACGAGCUCAAGAAUGGACUCAAGUCUAUCAUAGAUAAAGUGAAUGCAAUCCAUACAACGUGUUUUCGAGUAUUAUUGAAAUUGGAGACAGAUUGCCCAAAAUAUCCAUAUAUUCUUGAUGAGAAUAAUAUGUGGAAAAAUUACAGUAAAAUACUGGGAACACAUGGUAGACUUCACUACUUGUGUGAAUGGCCUGAAGGAACUUCUAAAGGUCAUCAAGUGAAGAGUUCUAUAGGUGUUGAAUUGGAUCUCCCACCAAACUGGCUCAAGAAAUUUGCUCUAGUACUUAAACAUACAUUGAUCUUAUUAUUUAUUGGGGCCAAAGUUGGAGGACAUUUUGCUGGUGUUGGACCGAUAGUGAAUGCAAUCGUGGAUGAAACCAAGGGAAGGCUUAUAAGCUUUUUGGAUUCAUGUCUUCUCAAAAGCAAGCUAACUACAAAUCCCAAAGCAGAAGAUGUGCAAGAGAUAUUUAAGCUAGUGACAACUAAAUUUGGGAAAAAAGAAAAACAGGAGACAAUCAUGGAAAAAUAUUUUGCUCUUCAUCCCAUAAUCUUGGAGGGAAAACAAAUAUGGGUUUGCAAAGAUCAUUAAUCUAUAUUUUUAUGAGGUGGUUUAGCAAAACGAAGGUAAAUAAAUAUGCUUUAUAUAGUUAUUACUAUAUAUCUUUGGUAUGAUUCAAGUCUAUUUUGUAGCUGAAGUUAAUGAGUGUUGAAUAUCUAAUAUUUUAAGUGAAGGAAAAGGUACCAAAUAUUUUAUAUUUUAUCCCAUAAUUUGGAUGAUAAAACAAUAUAUAUUUACAAAGGGCAUUUAAAGUAAAUCAUUAAUUAUAUAUUUUGCUCUUCAUCCCAUAAUCCUGGAUGAAAGAAAAAUAUGGAUCUGCAAAGGUAUUUAACAUUUAAGUUUUUAGUUUUAUCUAACAAACACCAUUCUAAAGCAGAUCAUUAAUAUAUAUUUUUACAAGUUAGUUUAGAAAGAUGAAGAUAAAUGAACAUACUUUAUAUAAUUAUUACUAUAUGUCUUUGGAAUGAUUGGGCUAUAUUUUGUAACAAAAGUUGAUGAAUGUUGAAUUUUUAAUAAUCAAAGUGAAGGAAAAACUCAUCAAAUGAUUUCACAUUAAUGACAUUUCGAUAUGAAAACUAAAAUUGUGAAAGAAAUUGACCAAAAGACAAUCAUGACCAAAUAUUUUA
This is a long non-coding RNA of Selaginella moellendorffii, 1263 nucleotides long. RefSeq lists it as uncharacterized. The transcript has 5 exons. Lineage: Eukaryota; Viridiplantae; Streptophyta; Lycopodiopsida; Selaginellales; Selaginellaceae. The record is from RefSeq and is a predicted model, not a curated record.